UACGUAGGGUGCAGGCGUUAAUCGGAAUUACUGGGCGGAAAGCGUGCGCAGGCGGUUUGUUAAGACAGAUGUGAAAUCCCCGGGCUUAACCUGGGAACUGCGUUUGUAACUGGCAAGCUAGAGUGUGGCAGAGGGGGGUGGAAUUCCAAGUGUAGCAGUGAAAUGCGUAGAUAUUUGGAGGAACACCAAUGGCGAAGGCAGCCCCCUGGGUUAACACUGACGCUCAUGCACGCAAGCGUGGGGAGCAAACAGG
This 253-nucleotide ribosomal RNA is filed under the name uncultured bacterium. Its description in RNAcentral is "partial 16S ribosomal RNA". It matches the Rfam family "Bacterial small subunit ribosomal RNA", at positions 524 to 776 of the family's 1533-position model. The record is from RNAcentral.